This 563-nucleotide ribosomal RNA is filed under the name uncultured organism. RNAcentral describes it as "bacterial SSU rRNA". It matches the Rfam family "Bacterial small subunit ribosomal RNA", at positions 338 to 882 of the family's 1533-position model. The record is from RNAcentral.
CCUACGGGAGGCAGCAGUGGGGAAUAUUGGACCAAUGGGGGCAACCCCUGAUCCAGCAAUGCCGCGUGUCGUGAAGAAAGGCCUUAAGGGUUGUAAAGCACUUUAGGCUGGGAGGAAGACGUGUAGUUUAAGAGAUAAUACGUUUGACUGUACCGGCAGAAUAAGCACCGGCUAACUCUGUGCCAGCAGCCGCGGUAAUACAGAGGGUGCGAGCGUUAAUCGGAGUUACUGGGCGUAAAGGGCGCGUAGGCGGUUGAUUAAGUGAGAUGUGAAAUCCCUGGGCUUAACCUAGGAACUGCAUCUCAUACUGGUCAGCUAGAGUAUUGUAGAGGGUAGUGGAAUUUCCGGUGUAGCGGUGAAAUGCGUAGAGAUCGGAAGGAACACCAGUGGCGAAGGCGGCUACCUGGACAAAUACUGACGCUGAGGCGCGAAAGCGUGGGGAGCAAAACAGGAUUAGCAUACCCUUGGGUAGUCCACGCUGUAAACGGAUGAAAACUAGAUGUUGGGCAGCAUGACUGUUUAGUAUCGAAGCUAACGCGAUAAGUUUUCCCGCCUGGGGAGUA